CCUACGGGUGACAGCAGUGAGGAAUAUUGGUCAAUGGGCGCGAGCCUGAACCAGCCAAGUAGCGUGAGGGAUGACUGCCCUACGGGUUGUAAACUUCUUUUAUAAAGGAAUAAAGUGAGGCACGUGUGCCUUUUUGUAUGUAUUUUAUGAAUAAGGAUCGGCUAACUCCGUGCCAGCAGCCGCGGUAAUACGGAGGAUCCGAGCGUUAUCCGGAUUUAUUGGGUUUAAAGGGAGCGUAGAUGGGGUGUUAAGUCAGUUGUGAAAGUUUGCGGCUCAACCGUAAAAGUGCAAUUGAUACUGGCAGCCUUGAGUAGAGUUGAGGUAGGCGGAAUGCGUGGGGUAGCGGUGAAAUGCUUAGAUAUCACGAAGAACUCCGAUUGCGAAGGCAGCAUACCAAAGUGCCACUGACAUUGAUGCUCGAAAGUGUGGGUAUCAAACAGGAUUAGAUACCCCAGUAGUC
RNAcentral lists this ribosomal RNA (460 nucleotides) under uncultured bacterium. Its description in RNAcentral is "partial 16S ribosomal RNA". It matches the Rfam family "Bacterial small subunit ribosomal RNA", at positions 338 to 795 of the family's 1533-position model. The record is from RNAcentral.